This 1133-nucleotide ribosomal RNA is filed under the name Smittium annulatum. RNAcentral's name for it is "eukaryotic LSU rRNA". It matches the Rfam family "Eukaryotic large subunit ribosomal RNA", at positions 1 to 933 of the family's 3401-position model. The record is from RNAcentral. Lineage: Eukaryota; Fungi; Kickxellomycota; Harpellomycetes; Harpellales; Legeriomycetaceae.
UCCUGAACUCAAACAGGCAAGAUUACCCGCUGAAUUUAAGCAAAUUAAUAAGCGGAGGAAAAGAAACUAAACAGGAUUCCCCUAGUAACGGCGAGUGAAGCGGGAACAGCUCAAGCUUGAAAUCUGCACCUUGUAAAGAGGGUGCCGAGAUUGCUAGCUUUUGGAGGCACCAUUGAGCGGCUAGUCUUGGUAAAAGUCCUUUUGAAUAAGGCAUCAAAGAGGGUGAAAAUCCCGUAUUUGACCAGGAAUGCAAAAUUAGCAGCGUUAUCAGGUGUUUUCUUCGAGUCGGGUUGUUUGGGAAUGCAGCCCUAAUUAGGAGGUAAAUUUCUUCUAAAGCUAAAUAUCAGCAAGAGACCGAUAGCAUACAAGUACCGUGAGGGAAAGAUGAAAAGCACUUUGAAAAGAGAGUGAAAAGUACGUGAAAUUGUUGGAAGGGAACCGGUUGAUGGCCAAGCUUUUUUUUCCCUUUUCUUUUUAAGAAGGGGGGGAAGGGUCAACAUCGGUUGCGUGUGGCCAGAAGGGAUUGUGCGGGUUGACGGGGGAAAGGUAGUAAACUGGUCUGGGGGUUACCCUAGUCAGCUUAUGUUAUAGACCCCUGGCUGGACCCGCCUUUAUUUGCGCUCUAUGGCCGCGGCGACCGAGGAAUGCAGUGUGUUUUUAUCCUCUCGGGGAUUUAGGGUGGGUUGCAGGGAUGCGUUUUUUUUUUGUGGUGCUUCUGGGUGCUGGACAGCUUUGCUGACCAGUGCUGUUGCGUCAUACGUGAGCCCUGCAAGCUGACCAAGAAGCACUUUGGAUGUUGGCGAAAAGGCAUCAAUCGACCCGUCUUGAAACACGGACCAAGGAGUCCAACAUGCAUGCGAGUAUCUGGGAGAAUAUGUAAACCCAUGUGCGCAAUGAAAGUGAAAAACUUUAGAAUGUGACCUGCUGUGGCAGAGCAAUCUGCUUUGCGGGGCAACAUCGACCGACUUUAGAUAGCGCUGCUUGAAAAGGUUGAGUAAGAGCAUGUAUGCUGGGACCCGAAAGAUGGUGAACUAUGCCUGAAUAGGGUGAAGUCAGAGGAAACUCUGAUGGAAGCUCGUAGAGAUUCUGACGUGCAAAUCGAUCUCAGAAUUUGGGUAUAGGGGCAAAGACUA